AAUGUUAAUGUUAAGAACUGAGAAACUCUGGAAUGUUUGUCCAGAGUCCCCAGCUUCAGAGCAAAUUCUCUUACACCACUAGGCUCCAGGGGAAGGCUUCAGCCAAAGGCAACAUGAGCAGAAACUCCAUCUGAUGGGGCUGUGGAAACAGCUGGAAGCACUUAGCAGACAAACCACCCCAAAUUCCUCUCCCAGAAAUGCUGACGGCAUGGGAGAUGUGGAGGGCAGGGGAAAGAAGGUGUGGGCUGUCAGGAUCUCUCUUCAGCUGUGGUCAGAAAAAAUAUUUUCUUUCCCUGAAAACUGAUCCCAAAGUGGUCCCAGAUGUGAAGACAAGGGAUGUCAGAAUACUAAGAAAAUACUUAAACCAGACGAAGUUUGAGAUCUCUCAGGAAGACUUAGCAACACUGACCCUACCAUGAGUAAUACAACCCAAGUCCUUUACUAACACCAUUUAAAAUUAUUUGGCUUGGAGGAGAGAAGCCUAGGGAAGACCACAGUACAUAGGCUGAACUGAGCUAAACCUCAUGAAGAAUGUCUGGAAAGAAAAUGAGUCUGUUUCCUGUUUGUACCUAUGAUUCCAUCUGGCUUACAAAAAGCCCGCUUUCUGUAUUUAAGGCGUAUUUAGUGAAUGUAUGUCCUAAGGAUCAAGAUGUUGCUAAAUCAUCAUAAAGUUUCAAGUAAAUGCACUCAGAAGAAAAAUGCAUGGCAUUUUCCACAGUUUUAAAACAUUAUCAUAGUUGAGUUUGGAUUUCAAUGGAGCUUUCCAGUGAAUGUAUUCCUGGACAGUCAAAGCAGUCUGAGCAAGGAAUGGAGAGCAAGCCAAUCAACAUUCUUCCAUGGCCUCUGCUUCAAUUCCUGCUUCUAAGUUUCUGCUUUGAAUUUCUGCCCUGACUUCUCCGGAUGAUGAAUUAUAGUCUGCUUUGCAAUCACAAACAAGCUAAUGAAAUACUACAUGUUUGUCUUUUUAUCUAUUGCCUGAUUAAUCAUGAUACAAAAGCAGUAAGAACAACUAACAUUCAUUGAUCAUAAAUGAGAACUUAUGACAAAUCAGUGAAGAUCCUGUUAACAUGAGGAACAACACAUCAGAGAACUUCAGCCUCUUGCCUUCUUAUACCUCAGCGUGCACAUGACAAAAGAGCCCUGAAACUUGCUAUUAGAAGGUAGUCUUACUGCCUAGUCAUUUCAGCUCAGCUUGUCUAUACUUUCUUAGGGGUUUCUGUCUAACAGUCAUGAGCUUUACGAGAUCAGUGGAAUAAAUACUGGAAACUCAAAACAAUCUUUAAUGUCUUUAAAAAAGAAGGAGGAGGAGGAGGAGAAGAAGAUAAAAGCAAAGGAGAAGGAGGAGGAAGAAAAAGAGAAGAAGGAAGAUAGACUUCUUAACAGUGACCAGGCAAUUGGCAUGAGUGCUUGUACAAACCACAGCUUUAUUAUUGCUAAAAAAAUCAAAUAAAAAUUCCAUACUAGACCAUUUUCAAAUGCCACCCAAGCACACCAAAGAAAUAUAGUUGUAAAUGAAUCCAUUGCAUGCCAGAAAUAAACAUUUCCAACCAAUCUCCCAGAUCCUGAAAACAUGUUCACAAAAUAUAAUGUCAUGAUAUUCAUUUCCUUGUUUUUUUUUGCAAGACUGAACAAAUGGGUAUCCAAUGGGUGAAAAUUUACAUUACUAAUGCUGAAGUGGAAAAUGCCCUCUGACUUUAAUGACUCCAACUUCAAAGGCAGUUUUAGACUUAAUAUUCACUGUUGUUAGAAAAGAAUGUCUUCAUAGUGCAUCUUCCUUUUGAUAUAUAUUUGUGAACAUAGAUAAUGUGACAUUACAUUGUUUUCAAGUUCUAAUUUAGUAUUAGCUAAUCGGUGAAUAAUCUUUGUAUAAAAAGCCUACUGAUAUUUCUAAGCAUUUCUGUCAGAAUACAUUUUUUUUUUUUAAAUUCCAUUCUAACCACAACUUGUUUGGAUUUCAGUUUCCUUUCAGUUUGUUCUUUGGUUUUGCUCAGACUUAUUUCACCCACCCCCAAUAUAUAUCCACUUAGCAAAAAAGAAUGCCUUAUACAGAGAAGCCAAACAUGCAUUUUUUAAAAAUUAACUUUCUUACUACCUAAAUUACAUGAUGUGUCAACUGAGCAUUUCUAGUCAUUUGUUAUCUUAAAACUUAAUUUCUCCUAUGCCAAUGUAUAUUUCUUAAAUUAAAGAAUAUUUGUGGUGAAGAAGAAGACUCAACAGCUACAAUGUAUUUAUGUAAAAUAACAGCUGAUUGAAGGCAUGGAGAACUGCAUACUGAAUUCAAUCAUGUGAAAUUGCUAAGGUUCCAAUUAAAUAAUAUUCUAUUAUAGUUUGUCCUAAUAUUACAUGCUCUCUGAAAAAAUUGCUUUUUUUUUUUGAGAAGCAGAAGCAAAGUUGUUUAUUAUAAUAGCGAGGAAUGCCUCUGCCCACAUCCCCUUGGUCCUAACUGCUUGGCCAACACAGUUUAUAUUAGCCAAUUGGAUGCUCCAGUCUCAUGCUCUGUCUUUAUUGUCUCCAUGUGUCAGGCAGGUUAUUUUAUGAUAACUCUAAAUAUAAUACUGAGAAGAUAUAACAAAUUAAAAAAUAAAAAUAUGAAUUAUUUCCUUAAUAUGCCUCAUAUAAAAGUUUUGAAAAUAAUAUUU
Long non-coding RNA from Mus musculus (house mouse), 2639 nucleotides. RefSeq annotates it as predicted gene, 31378. NCBI's taxonomy places the organism in Eukaryota, Metazoa, Chordata, Mammalia, Rodentia, Muridae. The transcript is spliced from 7 exons. The record is from RefSeq and is a predicted model, not a curated record.